AGAGUUUGAUCCUGGCUCAGGACGAACGCUGGCGGCGUGCCUAAUACAUGCAAGUCGAACGAAGCUUUCUUUCACCGAAUGCUUGCAUUCACCGAAAGAAGCUUAGUGGCGAACGGGUGAGUAACACGUAGGCAACCUGCCCAAAAGAGGGGGAUAACACUUGGAAACAGGUGCUAAUACCGCAUAACCAUGAACACCGCAUGAUGUUCAUGUAAAAGACGGCUUUUGCUGUCACUUUUGGAUGGGCCUGCGGCGUAUUAACUUGUUGGUGGGGUAACGGCCUACCAAGGUGAUGAUACGUAGCCGAACUGAGAGGUUGAUCGGCCACAUUGGGACUGAGACACGGCCCAAACUCCUACGGGAGGCAGCAGUAGGGAAUCUUCCACAAUGGACGAAAGUCUGAUGGAGCAACGCCGCGUGAAUGAAGAAGGCCUUCGGGUCGUAAAAUUCUGUUGUCAGAGAAGAACGUGCGUGAGAGUAACUGUUCACGUAUUGACGGUAUCUGACCAGAAAGCCACGGCUAACUACGUGCCAGCAGCCGCGGUAAUACGUAGGUGGCAAGCGUUGUCCGGAUUUAUUGGGCGUAAAGGGAACGCAGGCGGUCUUUUAAGUCUGAUGUGAAAGCCUUCGGCUUAACCGAAGUAGUGCAUUGGAAACUGGAAGACUUGAGUGCAGAAGAGGAGAGUGGAACUCCAUGUGUAGCGGUG
RNAcentral lists this ribosomal RNA (707 nucleotides) under uncultured Lactobacillus sp. Its description in RNAcentral is "bacterial SSU rRNA". It matches the Rfam family "Bacterial small subunit ribosomal RNA", at positions 8 to 683 of the family's 1533-position model. Lineage: Bacteria; Bacillati; Bacillota; Bacilli; Lactobacillales; Lactobacillaceae. The record is from RNAcentral.